This 394-nucleotide ribosomal RNA is filed under the name uncultured Pseudomonas sp. Its description in RNAcentral is "bacterial SSU rRNA". It matches the Rfam family "Bacterial small subunit ribosomal RNA", at positions 993 to 1381 of the family's 1533-position model. The record is from RNAcentral. Lineage: Bacteria; Pseudomonadati; Pseudomonadota; Gammaproteobacteria; Pseudomonadales; Pseudomonadaceae.
GAACUUUCCAGAGAUGGAUUGGUGCCUUUCGGGAACUCUGACACAGGUGCUGCAUGGCUGUCGUCAGCUCGUGUCGUGAGAUGUUGGGUUAAGUCCCGUAACGGGCGCAACCCUUGUCCUUAGUUACCAGCACGUUAUGGUGGGCACUCUAAGGAGACGUGCCGGUGACAAACCGGAGGAAGGUGGGGAUGACGUCAAGUCAUCCAUGGCCCUUACGGCCUGGGCUACACACGUGCUACAAUGGUCGGUACAAAGGGUUGCCAAGCCGCGAGGUGGAGCUAAUCCCAUAAACCGAUCGUAGUCCGGAUCGCAGUCGUGCAACUCGACUCGCGUGAAGUCGGAAUCGCUAGUAAUCGUGAAUCAGAAUGUCACGGUGAAUACGUUCCCGGGCCUC